UUGUUUACUCAUUGUUAAAAAAAAUUACAUCAUUGUACCUAUCCAAGUGUUUCAAGUUGUGUGUGUUUGUGUAUUAUUAAUUAAUACAGCUUGUAUUAUUAAUUAAUACAAGCCUCUAGAAGAUUGCCUCCGUUGCUCUUGGAGUAGAAACAAGAUAACAACGAGAAGAAGGUAAUAGGAGGAGAGAAGCGACCAGUACAGAUAAGAGUUGAGGUCCUUUCUGCUUUUCAGGAUUUGAGUCGGCAAA
This is a long non-coding RNA of Apis dorsata (giant honeybee), 247 nucleotides long. RefSeq lists it as uncharacterized. The record is from RefSeq and is a predicted model, not a curated record. The transcript is spliced from 4 exons. NCBI's taxonomy places the organism in Eukaryota, Metazoa, Arthropoda, Insecta, Hymenoptera, Apidae.